GUCCACGCCAUAACGAUGAGGACUAGACGUUGGGGCGUAUAAGCUCUCAGUGUCGUAGCUAACGCGCUAAGUCCUCCGCCUGGGGAGUACGGCCGCAAGGUUUAAACUCAAAGGAAUUGACGGGGACCCGCACAAGCGGUGGAGCAUGUGGUUUAAUUCGAUGCAACGCGAAGAACCUUACCUGGUCUUGACAUCCAUGGAAGUCUGCAGAGAUGUGGAUGUGCCGUAAGGAACCAUGAGACAGGUGCUGCAUGGCUGUCGU
RNAcentral lists this ribosomal RNA (262 nucleotides) under uncultured bacterium. RNAcentral describes it as "partial 16S ribosomal RNA". It matches the Rfam family "Bacterial small subunit ribosomal RNA", at positions 793 to 1055 of the family's 1533-position model. The record is from RNAcentral.